UUGACAGGUGCGUCAGGCCGGCAGCGGGGCAGUUCGCUGAGGGGCUUCCUUAGCGCUCGCUUGCUGGUCUACAGUUUUGGCCCCAUUUUUUGGUUUAUUUUAUUUAUUUACCUCAUAAAAUUCAAGAGACCACUUCAUAUUAUUUUAUUUUUAAAGAUGAAAAUUAACCAAAGUGAUGGUGGUGGUUUGUUGUUGUUUUUAAAAAAACCUACCUGAGUUCUCGUUUGCCGGUCUAAAAUUUUGGCUCCUUUUUUUUUUUUUUUGCUUUGUUUUAUUUAUUUACCUCAUAAAAUUCAAGAGACCACUUGAUUUUAUUUUAUUUUUAAAGAUAAAAAUUAACCAAAGUGGUGGUGGUGUGUUUUGUUUUUUUAAAAAAUACCUCAAACCUACCUGAGCUCUUGCUUGCCGGUAUCAAAUUUUGGCUCCUUUUUUUGCUUUGUUUUAUUUAUUUACCUCAUAAAAUUCAAGAGACCACUUGAUUUUAUUUUAUUUUUAAAGAUAAAAAUUAACCAAAGUGGUGGUGGUGUGUUUUGUUUUGUUUUGUUUUUAAAAUAAAUACCUCAAAACUACCUGAGCUCUCGCUUGCCGGUAUCAAAUUUUGGCUCCUUUUUUUGCUUUGUUUUAUUUCUCUCAUAAAAUUCAAUUUAAUUUUUAUCUUUUUUAUUAAAAAAAGGUUUGGUUUUUUUAAAAAAACAACCACCUUGAAGCAGUUUGCAAAAAAAAGGACAAAACAAUAAACUCAGUUAUUUUUCUUUUUACAACGGUGCUUUAAAAACACACGGGAAGUUAAAACAGAUUUUUAAAAAGCCCACCCCAGCAUUUCUAAGCACCUGGCUAGUUUUGCCCAAAUGAAAAUGUUUUUAAGUGGGGGCUGAAAGGAAGGCAGUGAAAAGGCACAAAACAACCAAGUUCUCACCUGGAUUGCCUGAUUUACGGAACUAUAAUCAAGGUGUGGCAACUAUGGCAGCGUUUGAAUGAUUUCUGUUUAAACAAUAAAAUGUUUGAAGUAAAAUAAGACAAAGGGUUUAGUGAAGAAGACGUUAAGUUUAUUAUGAACAUAACUGAAUUAUGAAAUUUAUUUUAGUACAAGUAGUUUUCUAAAGUAAAUAUACUGGGUAAAUACAUUGGGCGUGGACAGGAAGUCAUGUAUAAAGAUAUGAAAUGUAGAAUAAUAGAAUGGAAGAUGAUAUUGUAGUUAACUGGAAAAUUAUUAGUGUUUUUUCCUUUGAUGGCCACUGGUCCCAUCACCUGGCAAAUAGAAGGGGAAGAAAUGGAGGCAGUGAGAGUUUUAAUUUCUUGGGUUCCAUGAUCACUGCAGAUGGUGACAGCAGCCACGAAAUUAAAAGACGCCUGCUUCUUGGGAGAAAAGCAAUGACAAACCCAGACAACAUCUUAAAAAGCAGAGACAUCACCUUGCCAACAAAGGUCCGUAUAGUUCAAGCUAUGGUUUUCCCAGUAGUGAUGUAUGGAAGUGAGAGCUGGACCAUCAAGAAGGCUGAUCGCCGAAGAAUGGAUGCUUUUGAAUUCUGGUGCUGGAGGAGACUCUUGAGAGUCCCAUGGACUGCAAGAAGAUCAAACCGAUCCAUUCUGAAGGAAAUCAGCCCUGAGUGCUCCCUGGAAGGACAGAUCCUGAAGCUGAGGUGCCAAUACUUUGGCCACCUCAUGAGAAGAGAAGACUCCCUGGAAAAGACCCUGAUGUUGGGAAAGAUGGAGGGCACAAGGAGAAGGGGACAACAGAGGACAAGAUGGUGGGACAGUGUUCUCGAAGCUACCAACAUGUUUGACCAAACUGCGGGAGGCAAUGGAAGACAGGAGUGCCUGGCAUGCUCUGGUCCAGGGGGUCACGAAGAGGCGGACAUGACUAAACGACCCAACAACAACUGUUUCUAUCAACUUGUAAUGCAAAUUCUAUGUUAUGUUUCUUUUUUAAUUUAUCAAAGUGGUGGGCGGGGAGAAGAACUUGGCCCGGUAGCUGAUGGGCAACCAGUGCAGACCUCUGUCGUAUGCUGGCAAGGCCUCCUGUCAGCAAUUGUGCUGCAGCAUCCUGCACUAACUGCAUCCUCUGGAUCAAGCAGAGUGAUGCAUCUUCAUAUUCUCGUAAACUCCAGUGCUUCAGUCUGUCAGAGUCUGCCCUGAUUACUGUAUUAUGUAUUUUAGAUGCAAAAAUCCCACUUGCAUUCAUUUGAUGGAAAGGGCUGGGACUGUGAUUUGUAAUGUUUUUACUGUAAAUAUUUAUAUAUUUUAAUAGAUAUAUUUUAAUAUACACACAUACACAUUCAUUAUUGUUUUAUCUAAAUGAUUAUCUAAAUGUCUCUAUUUUAUCUGUAAGCUGCCUUGAGUCCCUGGGGAAAAGGCAUAAUAAUAACACCACCAACAACAACAAUUUGAGCUUUUCUCCUAGGUUAGUGUGCACAGGGCACUGAUUCAUAAGGAUUUAUUUUAGCUGGGCAGUUGCACAAAGCACAGCAAUCUGCUUUCAUUUUUAAAACGAUUUUCAUUUAUUUAUUUGCUAUUUUACUUUUAAAGGUAAAAUAGGAACAAAAGGCAUACAAUUAGGAUAAGUACUAGGUACUCAGUAAAGAAUAAAAAUAUGCCCCCUACUCUCAUUCGCCAAUGUUCUGUCCCACCAGCAAAAUCACUGAGUUAAUUAACAGGAUUUUAAAAUGCUAUAGAAAAAACAUAUUUUAUUAAUAAUAAUUUAACUGUUGAUGCAUCUGGGGAGUACUUCGAAAGAAAGAACACAAGAAAUAUGAUCUUUGAUAGGACCCCUAAAUAAAUAAUAUUGGAUACAGCACCAGCUACGGGAAAGAACUUUCAUACAUUAUAGAAAUAUGGAAAGACUAAUCUAAGGAAUAAAAUAUGAAAGAUGUUAAAAAUCUCCUUUGUAAAAAAGUCUGAAGCCUUUCUACUGGGUAUAAUUGAUACAGACAUUCCUAAAAAUAUGAGGAAGGUCUUUAUGUAUGCAACAGUUGCAGCAAAAAUUUUAAUAGCAAAAAAUGGAAAGGAGAAACUACCCCGACUAAACUGGACUGGCAGGCAAAACUAUUGGAAUAUACAGAACUAGCAAGAAUGACAGGAAGAAUUAGAGACAAUACAGAACAAACUUUUAUUAGAGAGUGGGACAUUCAUAGAACAUACCUUGAAGAGCAUUGUAAAAAUGUGAAUCCUCUGGCAGGUUUAGACUGAUUCCUGUAUGAACAUAGAAAACUUUGCAAAAAUAAAACUUGGGCAAAGUUUGAAGAGAUAAUGAAAAGCGGGUUACAUAAAAGAAAACCGGGACCCUUGAUGGGGUGGCUGGAAGUCACAAUGGAAGUUAUGUUGUAAGAAUUUAAUUUAUCCUUUGUAAAUCGUAGUAAUCUUUGGUUCUUUUUGGUUGAUUAUAAUUUUUCUUUUUAAAACUAAGAAAGCAAUAAAUAUUUUUUUAAAAAAAUGAAAGGGAGGGAGCCUGUUGCCCUCCAGGUAGUGAGACUCCAGCUCCUAUCAGCCCCACCCUGAAUGGCCAACAGUUGUAGUCCAACAACAUAUGGAGGCCUACUGGUUCCUCAUUUAUGAAUUUAUAAAUUUAUAAAUAAUUCCUGAUUUAGCACCUGUGGUGUGCUAGAGACUCAAUGCCUUCCUCAGGGGGCUUAUCUUCAACAGGAUAGGUGGGGCAGAGGUAAAUUGAGAGCUGCACUGGAUGGGGCUGAUGGGAGUUGAGCUGUUUUGCCAAACACCUGGAGGGCACCAGGUUGGCAAAGGCUGCUCCAGAGAGAAGGGAAUGGGAACUACAUGCUAGAGCUGCUUGCUUACAAGUCUGUUUUCAUUUCGCCAGGCUAAUCUCCAAUCCCCCUGAAAGAUUUUGAAAGCAAAGCUGGCUGCUGAACUUUCCUGAUUAUUUUCAGCCUCCAAGGAACAGAAGAACCGCCGGCAUCAAGGCAAUUUCCUCCUCGCACAGCAACUUUCCUCAUAAUGCUCCUGAUUAGUUUUACUGAACUGCCUCUUGUCUGGUUCUUGCGCUUUGGUGGGGGAAGUAUUUUUGAUUGCUUGGUGUUCCCAAAUUCACAGGUGACCUUAACUGGAAAAAUUCAAUUUCAUCAGGUAGCAGACAACCUGACAGUGUAAUUGUCUAUCAGGGAAUGACAACUUUAAAAUUUUGAGAGUCCA
Non-coding RNA from Podarcis lilfordi (Lilford's wall lizard), 4143 nucleotides. The record is from the annotation of a GenBank genome assembly. Lineage: Eukaryota; Metazoa; Chordata; Lepidosauria; Squamata; Lacertidae.